GAUGAACGCUGGCGGCGUGCCUAAUACAUGCAAGUCGAGCGAACGGACGAGAAGCUUGCUUCUCUGAUGUUAGCGGCGGACGGGUGAGUAACACGUGGAUAACCUACCUAUAAGACUGGGAUCACUUCGGGAAACCGGAGCUAAUACCGGAUAAUAUUUUGAACCGCAUGGUUCAAAAGUGUAAGACGGUCUUGCUGUCACUUAUAGAUGGAUCCGCGCUGCAUUAGCUAGUUGGUAAGGUAACGGCUUACCAAGGCAACGAUGCAUAGCCGACCUAAGAGGGUGAACGGCCACACUGGAACUGAGACACGGUCCAGACUCCUACGGGAGGCAGCAGUAGGGAAUCUUCCGCAAUGGGCGAAAGCCUGACGGAGCAACGCCGCGUGAGUGACGAAGGUCUUCGGAUCGUAAAACUCUGUUAUUAGGGAAGAACAUAUGUGUAAGUAACUGUGCACAUCUUGACGGUACCUAAUCAGAAAGCCACGGCUAACUACGUG
RNAcentral lists this ribosomal RNA (497 nucleotides) under uncultured bacterium. RNAcentral describes it as "partial 16S ribosomal RNA". It matches the Rfam family "Bacterial small subunit ribosomal RNA", at positions 28 to 507 of the family's 1533-position model. The record is from RNAcentral.